This is a long non-coding RNA of Neltuma alba, 424 nucleotides long. RefSeq lists it as uncharacterized. The record is from RefSeq and is a predicted model, not a curated record. NCBI's taxonomy places the organism in Eukaryota, Viridiplantae, Streptophyta, Magnoliopsida, Fabales, Fabaceae. The transcript has 3 exons.
AGCUAUAUCGAUUUGUGAUCGAUGGGAAUCAAAGGAAGGUUCGUUGCGCGGCUACUGUGAAGUUCGUGAAGCGCAAUGGGAUAGGCAUCUGGUAAACUGGUAUGGGAAUAAAUUUUGUCCAACUUUAUAAAUCUGUUUUUGAGAAGUUUCAUUCCAUGAUGGUGUAGUUUCUGCAGCCAAUAUGCAAGGUUAUAGGAGACAGUGAAAGCAUGAAGAAAAAAGCAUUUAGUUCUUGAUAUGGUAUUGAGUUAAAUAUUGUAUCUCUGCAAGGAAGAAAAAGCCAUAUGAUCAUGCACAGUAAUAGUAGCAGACCUAAAAGAAGACAAAACAGAGCAGUGCUUGACUUCUUAGGGAUAGAGUGAGAGAGAAAUGGUGCUAAUAAAUUAAUGUCAAGUAAGGUUUGCAGUGUUUGAUUAAGUAGAAU